RNAcentral lists this long non-coding RNA (886 nucleotides) under Heterocephalus glaber (naked mole-rat). RNAcentral describes it as "lncRNA (ENSHGLG00100034701.1)". The record is from RNAcentral. Lineage: Eukaryota; Metazoa; Chordata; Mammalia; Rodentia; Bathyergidae.
AGCGCAUGCAUACCGGGCGCCUAGCCGCGGCAGCUUCAGCGAGGGACUGAGCCGCCCAGCCGCGAGGUCCAUAGAGACUUCCUGGGGUGAUGACCUUGAGCAGAGACCAAGAGGAAAUACAGAAGAGAGCUACAAUAUCUGGGGACAAGAGAAGGGGCAGCAAGUGCAAAGGCCCUGAGGCAGGAAGAACUGGGACCCUUUGAAAGACAACAAAGAGACCGAUGUGGGUAGAACCAUGUGAAUAAAGAAAAGGAGAACAAAGGACACAUCAUGUGGGAAUGUGCCCUGGAAAUUCAAGGACAGCCUAAACUGUACAGUGAGACUCUGUCUCAAAGAAAGAAAGCUGUGAAGACACCAAGCCCAUCUUCCUGAAUGGAUGAAAUAAACAGCAACUGGUGGCAAUUACGGACGCAAGACACGGAACAAUUUUGCUUACUUGAGUGACGGACCCUCCAACAGCAGCCACACACGUGUGCCUGGUCAUUGUGCAAGUCAUUAACACAUGCCCUUGUGGUGGUGUUGGGUUUUGUUUUGUUUUGUUGAUGGCAUUAGAGAUGGAAGCCAGGGCCUCACACAUGCUGGACAAGUACUGAGCCACACCGCAGCCCUUCAUUUUGUUUUGUUUUUUCUCUCUCUUUUUUUUUGGUACCAGAGAUCAAACUCAGGUCCUUAUGCCUGCACAGUAGGGGGCAAAACCACUGAGCUAAAUCCCCAGCCCUCUCUCUCUUUUUUUUUUGAGACAGGGUCUUGCUAUGUAGUCCAGGCAGGCCUGGAACUCACAGCCAUCCUCCUGCCUCAGUGCGGGGAUGACAGGUGUGUGUCACCACACUCAGCUGAAGAUAUCAUUAUUACCCCAUUUUCCAGGUGAGUAAACUGAGGCACAGAG